This 327-nucleotide ribosomal RNA is filed under the name uncultured Bacteroidota bacterium. Its description in RNAcentral is "bacterial SSU rRNA". It matches the Rfam family "Bacterial small subunit ribosomal RNA", at positions 28 to 351 of the family's 1533-position model. Lineage: Bacteria; Pseudomonadati; Bacteroidota. The record is from RNAcentral.
GAUGAACGCUAGCGGCAGGCUUAACACAUGCAAGUCGAGGGGCAGCACGGGUAGCAAUACUUGGUGGCGACCGGCGCACGGGUGAGUAACGCGUAUGCAAUCUACCUCUAACUGGGGAAUAGCUCCCGGAAACGGAAAUUAAUACCCCAUAUUAUCACGAAUUCGCAUGUUUUUGUGAUGAAAGCCCCCGGCGGUUAGAGAUGAGCAUGCGUACCAUUAGUUUGUUGGUGAGGUAACGGCUCACCAAGACUACGAUGGUUAGGGGGUCUGAGAGGAUGAUCCCCCACACUGGUACUGAGACACGGACCAGACUCCUACGGGUGGCUG